CCGGACCUUCCGCCUUCGAUUUAAAAAUUUGGCGCGGAAAGCGGGACCGUAGCUGGCACCGCCCCCGAGUGCGCGGGGCUGGAGCGCGGGCGAGCCCCUCCCCCGCCCUCUGCGCGGGAGCUCGGCUCCUCCCCACGGGCCCCGGCGGGGCGGGAGGCGGGAAACGGCCGCCUUCACCCUGGCCUUCCCGGGAUCCCACAACCCCGCCGCAGCAGUCUGCUCCCCGCUCACCUGUCAAUCCUCCUUCAGAGCUGACGGUCCGGGGUGGCCCCGAAUCCUGGCUGCGCGUCUCAGGGAGCCAGCGCGUCUCAGGGAGACUCGCUUAGCCCCGCCGCGCAGAGAAGUGGAAAAAGAAGCUCGGCACCCCAACUAUGCCUUUCCGUGCACCCGCCUUUGCCUCGUAACAUUUCCCCUUUUCUGAUCACUCUGGGAUCGCCCGGACCGCAUGUUGCCCAACCCGCUUACAUCUAAGAUUGUGGUUUGGGCUGUUCCUGCUUUUAACUUUGUAUCUUCAGCCUCCAGAAGGACUCGGGGCCACGCAGUCCAAGUCCCAUCACUGAGCUUGGCCAUCAGUAAGCUAACCAUCACUGACUUCAAGGGAGAUACUGUGUUUUCCUGGCGGUGGUUAGGGCGUGGAUGCCAUAACACCGCCCCGGGAUCCAGUUCUAGUAGCUAUCAGAAGCUCCGGUGCUCAGGGUCACCCAAGUGUUCCUCAAGACCAGGAUUGGACCUGAAUGUUCACGUGCUGUACACAGGGGCUGGCUGGCUGUAGCAUCGGAUGCAAAAUAAAAAUCCGUCAUGAGGCA
Molecule: long non-coding RNA, 806 nt
Filed under: Mus spicilegus (steppe mouse)
Lineage: Eukaryota; Metazoa; Chordata; Mammalia; Rodentia; Muridae
Description: lncRNA (ENSMSIG00000002387.1)
Source: RNAcentral